RNAcentral lists this non-coding RNA (21 nucleotides) under Arabidopsis thaliana (thale cress). The record is from RNAcentral. Lineage: Eukaryota; Viridiplantae; Streptophyta; Magnoliopsida; Brassicales; Brassicaceae.
GAGAGGGAUGCAACACGAGGA